CCUACGGGAGGCAGCAGUGGGGAAUAUUGGACAAUGGGGGGAACCCUGAUCCAGCCAUGCCGCGUGUGUGAAGAAGGCCCUCGGGUUGUAAAGCACUUUCAGUGAGGAAGAACGCCUGGUGGUUAAUACCCAUCAGGAAAGACAUCACCCACAGAAGAAGCACCGGCUAACUCCGUGCCAGCAGCCGCGGUAAUACGGAGGGUGCGAGCGUUGAUCGGAAUUACUGGGCGUAAAGCGCGCGUAGGUGGCUUGAUAAGCCGGUUGUGAAAGCCCCGGGCUCAACCUGGGAACGGCAUCCGGAACUGGCAAGCUAGAGUGCGGGAGAGGAAGGUAGAAUUGCCGGUGUAGAGGUGAAAUGCGUAGAGAUCGGGAGGAAUACCAGUGGCGAAGGCGGCCUUCUGGACUGACACUGACGCUGAGGUGCGAAAGCGUGGGGAGCAAACAGGAUUAGAUACCCCGGUAGUC
This 465-nucleotide ribosomal RNA is filed under the name Vreelandella stevensii. RNAcentral's name for it is "partial 16S ribosomal RNA". It matches the Rfam family "Bacterial small subunit ribosomal RNA", at positions 338 to 795 of the family's 1533-position model. Lineage: Bacteria; Pseudomonadati; Pseudomonadota; Gammaproteobacteria; Oceanospirillales; Halomonadaceae. The record is from RNAcentral.